This 727-nucleotide unclassified non-coding RNA is filed under the name Hevea brasiliensis (rubber tree). The record is from RNAcentral. Lineage: Eukaryota; Viridiplantae; Streptophyta; Magnoliopsida; Malpighiales; Euphorbiaceae.
UAAAUUAAUACUUUGGUUUAAUAUUGAAACAUUUUAAUAUAAUUCUUCAUUGUCGAAUUGUUGUCUUAAAAACUAAACUAAACAUAAUUUCACAAUUUUAUUUAAUAAUGACUCGAGACGAUUAUAAUAUUACUAAACUAAACUCAUUGAUUAAUUUCAAAUAAUAAUACUAAAUCACUGAUUUAGUCAUUCGAUUCAUCGCAAAGAGUAAGAAGAUUCUUGAUGAAAUUAUUGAGAUACGUUUCUUGCAAGUCUCUGCUGGAGAGGAUUUUGUUCCACUUGGCAUGAUUGCUCUUCACCAUCACACCCACUUCGCUAUUUGAGCUCAUAACAGAUUGGAUUGCGUUGCUCAAGCUCUCCUUGGAAAUCCACCCAUUUUCUCCUUUCUUCACUUCUAUUGCAACUUUAAGUUCUCCUACCAUUAGCAUGGUGUUUACAAUCUGAUCACCCACAUAUGGUACGAGAACUAUUUGGCACUUACUCAGCAGUGACUCCCACAUUGAACCAAACCCGCAGUGGCUGACGAAGCACCCAACAGAUGGGUGCUCUAGUAUUUGUGACUGUGGAACCCAGCACCCUGACACCCAUCCUCUUCCUUCAAUCCUCUCCUGAAAUUCCUCUGGUAAUGCUUCUUUAAUUGUUGAGCAUCCAUUUGGUGGUGUUAAAGCGACAAGAAAUGGCAGCCCACAUAGCUCGAAUCCAAGAAGCAGUUCUUGAAACUGAUUCU